CCUUCGAUAGCUCAGUUGGUAGAGCGGAGGACUGUAGUGUGAAGUUUCUCAGGCAUCCUUAGGUCGCUGGUUCGAAUCCGGCUCGAAGGA
Bos taurus (domestic cattle) is the source of this 90-nucleotide non-coding RNA. NCBI's taxonomy places the organism in Eukaryota, Metazoa, Chordata, Mammalia, Artiodactyla, Bovidae. The record is from Rfam.